Molecule: unclassified non-coding RNA, 497 nt
Filed under: uncultured fungus
Lineage: Eukaryota; Fungi
Description: partial contains small subunit ribosomal RNA, internal transcribed spacer 1, and 5.8S ribosomal RNA
Rfam family: Eukaryotic small subunit ribosomal RNA (bases 1-73)
Source: RNAcentral
ACAAACUUGGUCAUUUAGAGGAAGUAAAAGUCGUAACAAGGUUUCCGUAGGUGAACCUGCGGAAGGAUCAUUAUUGAGUUCUUUGAAGCAGGAGUUGAUGUUUCUUUGUUUGUCUCUGAUGCUGGCAAUCCUUUGUAUGUGCUCGAGGCAGGCAAGGAAGUCAUUCCAGCUUUCAAAUCCACUCUUACUACUUUAACCCCUGUGCAUCAUGAAUGAAGUUUCGCUCACUGAGUUGCCUUUGCGCAUGUGUUGUGUGGGUCCAGUAUAAUCUGCAAAGGGAUCGACACAUCCCUACGUAGAGGAUCUGCAUAAUGCACAUGUUUGGACAUACACAUGACACAUCUGCAGAGGUGAUGACUGUGGAAGUGAUCUUUGUUUGAUAUUAUACAAACACUUUAUAUGUCUUGUAGAAUGUAUGCUCCUGCCUGUGAGCGAAAUAUUAAAGUACAACUUUCAACAACGGAUCUCUUGGCUCUCGCAUCGAUGAAGAACGCAGC